CUUUAGAUACCCGGGUAGUCCUAGCCGUAAACGAUGAGCACUGGGUUGAGGAAACUAUCACAUUUUCUCGGCCGUAGCGAAAGCGUUAAGUGCUCCGCCUGGGGAGUAUGGCCGCAAGGCUGAAACUCAAAGGAAUUGACGGGGGCUCACACAAGCGGUGGAGGAUGUGGCUUAAUUCGAGGCUACGCGAAGAACCUUAUCCUAGAUUUGACAUGCUUGAGAGUCUCUAUGAAAGUAGAGAGUGCCCUUCGGGGAGCUCUUGCACAGGUGCUGCAUGGCCGCCGUCAGAA
Molecule: ribosomal RNA, 290 nt
Filed under: uncultured bacterium
Lineage: Bacteria
Description: partial 16S ribosomal RNA
Rfam family: Bacterial small subunit ribosomal RNA
Source: RNAcentral